RNAcentral lists this ribosomal RNA (421 nucleotides) under uncultured bacterium. RNAcentral's name for it is "partial 16S ribosomal RNA". It matches the Rfam family "Bacterial small subunit ribosomal RNA", at positions 361 to 774 of the family's 1533-position model. The record is from RNAcentral.
AUCUUCCACAAUGGGCGACAGCCUGAUGGAGCAACGCCGCGUGCGUGAAGAAGGUUUUCGGAUCGUAAAACUCGGUUGUAAGGGAAGAACAAGUACAGUAGUAACUUGCUGUACCUCGACGGUACUUUAUCAGAAAGCCACGGCUAACUACGUGCCAGCAACCGAGGUAAUACGUAGCUGGCAAGCGUUGCUCGGAAUUGUUGGGCGUAAAGCGCGCGCAGGCGGUCCUUUAAGUCUGAUGUGAAAGCCCACGGCUCAACCGUGGAGGGUCAUUGGAAACUGGGGGACUUGAGUGCAGAAGAGGAAAGUGGAAUUCCAAGUGUAGCGGUGAAAUGCGUAGAGAUUUGGAGGAACACCAGUGGCGAAGGCGACUUUCUGGUCUGUAACUGACGCUGAGGCGCGAAAGCGUGGGGAGCAAACA